UGGGGAAUUUUGGACAAUGGGCGCAAGCCUGAUCCAGCAAUGCCGCGUGCAGGAUGAAGGCCUUCGGGUUGUAAACUGCUUUUGUACGGAACGAAAAGGCUCUGGUUAAUACCUGGGGCUCAUGACGGUACCGUAAGAAUAAGCACCGGCUAACUACGUGCCAGCAGCCGCGGUAAUACGUAGGGUGCAAGCGUUAAUCGGAAUUACUGGGCGUAAAGCGUGCGCAGGCGGUUAUGUAAGACAGACGUGAAAUCCCCGGGCUCAACCUGGGACCUGCAUUUGUGACUGCAUAGCUAGAGUACGGCAGAGGGGGAUGGAAUUCCGCAUGUAGCAGUGAAAUGCGUAGAUAUGCGGAGGAACACCGAUGGCGAAGGCAAUCCCCUGGGCCUGUACUGACGCUCAUGCACGAAAGCGUGGGGAGCAAACA
RNAcentral lists this ribosomal RNA (427 nucleotides) under uncultured bacterium. RNAcentral's name for it is "bacterial SSU rRNA". It matches the Rfam family "Bacterial small subunit ribosomal RNA", at positions 355 to 774 of the family's 1533-position model. The record is from RNAcentral.